GGGGAAUUUUCCGCAAUGGGCGAAAGCCUGACGGAGCAAUACCGCGUGAGGGAGGAAGGCUCUUGGGUUGUAAACCUCUUUUCUCAGGGAAUAAGAACUGAAGGUACCUGAGGAAUCAGCAUCGGCUAACUCCGUGCCAGCAGCCGCGGUAAUACGGAGGAUGCAAGCGUUAUCCGGAAUGAUUGGGCGUAAAGCGUCCGCAGGUGGUUUAUCAAGUCUGCUGUCAAAGAGUUUGGCUCAACCAAAUAAAGGCAGUGGAAACUGACAGGCUGGAGUGCGGUAAGGGCAGAGGGAAUUCCUGGUGUAGCGGUGAAAUGCGUAGAGAUCAGGAAGAACACCGGUGGCGAAAGCGCUCUGCUGGGCCGUAACUGACACUGAGGGACGAAAGCUAGGGGAGCGAAUGGGC
Molecule: ribosomal RNA, 406 nt
Filed under: uncultured cyanobacterium
Lineage: Bacteria; Bacillati; Cyanobacteriota
Description: bacterial SSU rRNA
Rfam family: Bacterial small subunit ribosomal RNA
Source: RNAcentral